Molecule: ribosomal RNA, 373 nt
Filed under: uncultured bacterium
Lineage: Bacteria
Description: bacterial SSU rRNA
Rfam family: Bacterial small subunit ribosomal RNA
Source: RNAcentral
AUACGGAGGGUGCAAGCGUUAUCCGGAUUCACUGGGUUUAAAGGGUGCGUAGGUGGCUUUGUAAGUCAGUGGUGAAAGCCCGGAGCUCAACUCCGGAACUGCCAUUGAUACUGCUUAGCUUGAAUCAACUUGAGGUGGAUGGAAUAUUACAUGUAGCGGUGAAAUGCUUAGAUAUGUAAUAGAACACCGAUUGCGAAGGCAGUUCACUAAGGUUGUAUUGACACUGAGGCACGAAAGCGUGGGGAUCAAACAGGAUUAGAUACCCUGGUAGUCCACGCCUUAAACGAUGUAAACUCGACAUUAGCGAUAUACUGUUAGUGUCCAAGCGAAAGCGUUAAGUUUACCACCUGGGAAGUACGUCCGCAAGGAUGAA